This 380-nucleotide ribosomal RNA is filed under the name Scoloplos armiger. RNAcentral's name for it is "SSU rRNA". It matches the Rfam family "Eukaryotic small subunit ribosomal RNA", at positions 40 to 424 of the family's 1831-position model. Lineage: Eukaryota; Metazoa; Annelida; Polychaeta; Orbiniidae. The record is from RNAcentral.
CAAGAUUAAGCCAUGCAUGUGCAAGUUCAUACUAUAAAACACGGUGAGACCGCGAAUGGCUCAUUAGAUCAGUCUUGGUUCCUUAGACGGAAAGCGUACCUGGAUAACUGUGGCAAUUCUAGAGCUAAUACAUGCGAAAAAGCUCCGACCUUCGGGGACGAGCGCAGUUAUUAGACCAAGACCUAACUCGAACACUUGGUGACUCUGGAUAACCUCGGGCUGACCGCGCGGACAACGAUCUGGCGGUGCAUCUUUCAAGUGUCUGACCCAUCAACUUUCGACGGUAGGCGACAUGCUUACCGUGGUCGUUACGGGUAACGGGGAAUCAGGGUUCGAUUCCGGAGAGGGAGCAUGAGAAACGGCUACCACCUCCAAGGAAG